CUAGGCUAAUUAAAAAAAGAAAAAGACUCAUGAAAGGAAAAAAUAUUUGUGGAAGCUCGAAACAUGAGAGAUGAGAUAUCAACCCUUGCGCUUUCUCUCCUCUCUCAGUCUCCGGCUCUCUUUCUUCUCUGACGGACGACAAAACAGUUAAACAGAAUGGAGAUCGUGGUUAACAAGAAAAGAAGAUUAAACCCAGGUUCAGAUGGCUGCCCUCCUCUUGAUGGUGGUGUUCUCACAUAUGACUGGGCUCAGCUUGACCGUGAUGUUCCUCUUGAUGGUGGUGUUCUCACAUAUGACUGGGCUCAGCUUGACCGUGAUGUUCUCGAAUGCAUCUUCAAGCACCUGGAUUUCAUCGACUUGUGUCGAACAAAAACAGUUUGUCCAUGGUGGACCAAGACCUUUGCAUAUACUUUUAAGAAACUCCACGCAUGUCCUGCUUUGCCGUGGCUAGUUUUCCCUCCUCGAGAAGACAACGAUCAUAUUUGUCGAGGGUUCAAAACUGGUUGAUUCUGGGAUUUUGAGGACGAUAAAUUCUACCCAUUCAAUAAUAUAGCCGCUGAGAACUAUUGCUUUAUCGGCUCUUCUCAUGGAUGGUUAGUAUGUUUAGACAAACAAGCUGUUCCUUUCCUUUCAAAUCCUUUCACUUCUGAAAAAAUUCAACUUCCCCCAUUGGGUUCUUUGCUGGGCAUAUCUGGUUUUGAGAGGACAGCGAAUGGUCAGUAUGAGAUUGGUUUGAGAAUGCCCGAUGAAACAAGAUUCAUAAGAACACUGCGAGAGCGCUUUGUCAGAAAGGCAGUACUCUCAUCAUGUCCGUCUCAUCGCCACAAGUUUUAUGCAGUGUUAAUCUAUGGCCCGGAGCUAAGGCUAGCUUUCUACAAAGAUGGUGACAGCUCCUGGACUGAGCUUGUUGGUGGACAUAAACCCUAUGAACCCUAUGAAGACAUCAUAUGCAACCA
Tripterygium wilfordii is the source of this 956-nucleotide long non-coding RNA. RefSeq lists it as uncharacterized. The transcript is spliced from 2 exons. The record is from RefSeq and is a predicted model, not a curated record. Lineage: Eukaryota; Viridiplantae; Streptophyta; Magnoliopsida; Celastrales; Celastraceae.